RNAcentral lists this unclassified non-coding RNA (324 nucleotides) under uncultured fungus. Its description in RNAcentral is "partial contains 5.8S ribosomal RNA and internal transcribed spacer 2". The stretch from base 1 to 133 matches the Rfam family "5.8S ribosomal RNA", at positions 22 to 154 of the family's 154-position model. The record is from RNAcentral. Lineage: Eukaryota; Fungi.
UGGUUCUGGCAUCGAUGAAGAACGCAGCGAAAUGCGAUAAGUAGUGUGAAUUGCAGAAUUCAGUGAAUCAUCGAAUCUUUGAACGCACAUUGCGCCCUUUGGUAUUCCUUAGGGCAUGCCUGUUCGAGCGUCAUUUAAACCUUCAAGCUCAGCUUGGUGAUGGGUGACUGUCCCCUCCCUUCGCGGGGGGACUCGCCUCAAAAACAUUGGCGGCCGGUACAUUGGCUUCGAGCGCAGCAGAAACGCGGUCUCGAGCCCGGUGGAUCGGCUCCCAUAAGCCUCAUUCUUUAUUUUGACCUCGGAUCAGGUAGGGAUACCCGCUGA